CAUGUCUAUUUAAACCUCCCCACGUCUUAGCCCCUGGCCAUCUCCAGAGUCUGCAAAGGCAAAUCCACUGGAGCUGGCAGGGGAGAGAGGAAGAGGAGUGCUUUAAAGCACUCCACCACCAUGC
Tachyglossus aculeatus (Australian echidna) is the source of this 124-nucleotide small nucleolar RNA. RefSeq annotates it as small nucleolar RNA SNORD22. Lineage: Eukaryota; Metazoa; Chordata; Mammalia; Monotremata; Tachyglossidae. The transcript has a single exon. The record is from RefSeq and is a predicted model, not a curated record.